UGCUAUGGAGUCCCAUUUGCACCUGGAAUGCUGGGAACAGGGGAUGGAGCAGCAAGAAGCAAUUGAAAGGAUUAGGAUGGAACCUUCCUCAAGCUUCACAGGCUUGUCUGCUGGCCACAGACACCAUUAUGUACACAGGAAAAUCAGAUCAUUAUCUAAGGCCAACAAGCUCCUCCUUGAGAUGUUCUGCCAUAUAAUCUGGAGGAAAUACUGUAAGACUUUGUCAGCACUGAGUCAUUUGCACUGGGAGUCUUACCAGAAAAAAAAAAUCUUGUCUUCUCAGAAGGAAUACCCUUCCUGAGGCCAAGAUGUGUCCUCUGGAAAGAUACCCAUGACACAGACCACAGUGGACACCAACUCAGAUACUGAGGGAAGGUUCCACGACAGCUGAACAUGGACAGCAGACAUGCUGAACACUGAGCCCCUUAGUACAGAGCUGCUAAGCUUUCCUCUCAAGCUGACGGGGGCUGGUACUGCCUUGAAGCCCUGGGAGAUGCCAUGCCAAUUCCCAGCAAGGUCUUUAUUGUUGAAAGUCUUGCACGAUGACAUCUUUAUUCAUGUGAAAAUACAGGAUGAAUUUCAACUAUAUGAUAUUGUUUAUGUUCAUUAGAAAUGUUAUUUGUCUUUACCAAGUCUGGUUUCAAUGAACCGGCUAUGUAAUGGAUAUUAAAUAAACAUGGAAUUUUACAUGUUCA
This 695-nucleotide long non-coding RNA is filed under the name Sus scrofa (pig). Its description in RNAcentral is "lncRNA (ENSSSCG00060056989.1)". Lineage: Eukaryota; Metazoa; Chordata; Mammalia; Artiodactyla; Suidae. The record is from RNAcentral.